UAACGCGUGAGAACCUGCCUUGGGGUCUGGGAUAGCUGCGGGAAACUGCAGGUAACACCGGAUACGCACGAGAGUGGAAAGUUUACGCCCUGGGAUGGGCCCGCGUCGGAUUAGGUAGUUGGUGGGGUAACGGCCUACCAAGCCUGCGAUCCGUAACCGGUCUGAGAGGAUGAUCGGUCACACUGGGACUGAGACACGGCCCAGACUCCUACGGGAGGCAGCAGUGGGGAAUCUUGGACAAUGGGGGCAACCCUGAUCCAGCGACGCCGCGUGGGUGAUGAAGGCCUUCGGGUCGUAAAGCCCUUUUGCCGGGGAAGAUGAUGACGGUACCCGGAGAAGAAGCACCGGCUAACUCUGUGCCAGCAGCCGCGGUAAGACAGAGGGUGCUAGCGUUGUUCGGAAUUACUGGGCGUAAAGGGCGCGUAGGCGGCUCGUUUAGUCGGGUGUGAAAUCCCGGGGCUCAACCCCGGAACUGCAUUCGAUACUGGCGGGCUAGAGACCGAGAGAGGUGGGUGGAAUACCCAGUGUAGAGGUGAAAUUCGUAGAUAUUGGGUGGAACACCGGUGGCGAAGGCGGCUCACUGGCUCGGUUCUGACGCU
RNAcentral lists this ribosomal RNA (599 nucleotides) under bacterium enrichment culture clone T44x_EXP-C06_T3-_G06. RNAcentral describes it as "bacterial SSU rRNA". It matches the Rfam family "Bacterial small subunit ribosomal RNA", at positions 111 to 747 of the family's 1533-position model. The record is from RNAcentral.